This 502-nucleotide long non-coding RNA is filed under the name Sorghum bicolor (sorghum). RNAcentral's name for it is "long non-coding RNA (SBIC_LNC002247)". The record is from RNAcentral. Lineage: Eukaryota; Viridiplantae; Streptophyta; Magnoliopsida; Poales; Poaceae.
CUGCCCUGACUUUUGUUUUGUCCGCACACGGUGCUCCGUUGCGGAGUUAAUUUCCUGCAGCACGCCUCACGUGGAUGGCGGUGGAGGACGACCACUGCACUUCACAUGCUGCGGAGCAUGCUGUGGUGCCCCUUCUGUUGGUGGCGGCCCGGCGACCAGACGAUGGACGUCGGCCGUGCCACCCCUCGACGCAACUGGCAGCCGACCUGGUCCUCCGCGACAUGACCGACGGCGGCCCCGCUCCCCUGUGAAGGCAACGCCCGGCCCCUCCCUGUCUUCUCUCUCAUCAUCUCCUCCGGCGCGGUGCCGUCCUUGUCGGCCUGUGCGCGUCCUCCUCGUCGACUCAGAACCGCGACCUGUCCACGAUAUGAUGCAUCAGCUUAGUUGUUGGUGGCUCAUCGGCACUCCCCAUGGUCUUUCUAUCGGAUGGCGGCCCCAGCGACAGAGCUGCAAGCUUCGCACGAAGCUGCAGAAGAAGGCCACUUACACGGACAUGAAGGCC